GACGGGCCCGCACAAGCAGCGGAGCGUGUGGUUUAAUUCGUUGCUACACGAAGAACCUUACCUGGGUUGACAUAAUGGUGGUAGGGAUCCGAAAGGUGACCGACCUUCGGGGAGCCAUUACAGGUGUUGCAUGGCUGUCGUCAGCUCGUGUCGUGAGAUGUUCGGUUAAGUCCGCUAACGAGCGCAACCCUCGCUGUGUGUUAUAUGUGUCACACAGGACUGCUGGUAUUAAGCCGGAGGAAGGUGGGAUGACGUCAAGUCCUCAUGGCCUUUAUGUCUAGGGCUACACACGUACUACAAUGGCCGGUACAAAGGGCAGCCACUCAGCGAUGAGGCGCUAAUCCCAUAAAGCCGGUCUCAGUCCGGAUCGCAGUCUGCAACUCGACUGCGUGAAGUUGGAAUCGCUAGUAAUCGUAGAUCAGCAUGCUACGGUGAAUACGUUCCCGGGCCUU
RNAcentral lists this ribosomal RNA (452 nucleotides) under uncultured Anaerolineaceae bacterium. Its description in RNAcentral is "bacterial SSU rRNA". It matches the Rfam family "Bacterial small subunit ribosomal RNA", at positions 917 to 1381 of the family's 1533-position model. The record is from RNAcentral. Lineage: Bacteria; Bacillati; Chloroflexota; Anaerolineae; Anaerolineales; Anaerolineaceae.